Polyodon spathula (Mississippi paddlefish) is the source of this 2472-nucleotide RNA transcript. It is a transcript of the gene named ubiquitin-associated protein 1-like, with no coding region annotated. NCBI's taxonomy places the organism in Eukaryota, Metazoa, Chordata, Actinopteri, Acipenseriformes, Polyodontidae. The transcript is spliced from 6 exons. The record is from RefSeq and is a predicted model, not a curated record.
AAAAGUAAACGGAAUAGUUGUUGUUUAUGGCAUUGCUGUACUGCGUGUAUUUACAGACCACCUGCUGGAAAAUGUAACAAACAGCAGGGUGAGCACUCCACUGUGCUGCGGUGUGCCACGUCAGGUUACACAGCCAGGUGGUGUGAAGACGUAGGUUUUUGCUGAUCAUGGUUCUCAAGCAGCUAAGUAGAUGUUUAUUACAAAGCCAGACCCACAAGCAUGUGUGCUGAAAAAGCUUCUGUUCUCCUUUGUCAGGCUGCAGAGACAGCGAGUCCCAUUCAGUGAGGAACAAUGAACUGGCUGGAUGAGGUACCUUUCAAGAUCCCUGCUGGAAGAGAAGAAUCAAAGGAGAUGGAGGGGGUCACUCCUCCAGAUCUGAAUAUCACCAUACUGGACUCAACACAAGGCUAAGUUAGUGAUAUCGGACUCCGAGAGCGACGGUGGCUACUCUGACGAUGAUGAGCGCUCCUCAUCCGACGACCGGGAGGAACUGUCCAUCAGGCCAUUUCAGACCCUGUUCCUCUCCGUUCCUGUUAAGCCACCAGUCUCCCACCAACUUACCAAGACAAAGGAGGAACUCCCUGUAUUUAGAGCCGUCCUCGUAUCAUGACUUGGAGGUGUUGGAGAGAGAACGGGUGACCAGUCCUCUGUGCCAGAACCAGAGGAGACCCAGGAGGAGGCUCCUCCCACUGUGUCACUGCGGCCGCAAUUCUUCUCUGGGGUUUCCCACCCCACAGCCUCCAUCAUCCCCGCCAUCAGCACACCUCCAGCCCAGGCCUGCCACUGCUGGUCAUAUUCCUGCAAUCAGGAACCAUAAACCCACACACCCGUCCCUGAGCCCUUAUUCCUGCCUCCCACCCCCUCCCUCUGCCUCUCGACCUCUCAGUUCCCACACAUUUUACCCAGACUCCUCAGCGGACCUGCUACUGGCUCUCAGCCAGGAGGAGCGAGACCUGCUGGAGCCGGUCAUUGGCCUGGGCUAUCCCAUGCAUGCGGCCAUCUGGGCUCUCCAGAAGAUUGGGAAACAGAGCCCCGACCAGGUUUGGAACAUUGUAGUCUUUAUUAAGCACUGAAAGCGCUGUGUAACGGAACACAUGAUGUUGAAUUCACCUUUUUGUAUAUGGUGACAUUAGACUGGGUUUCAGGAGAAGAACCCCUUAUGUCUUUGUUUUAAUGACUCUGGCUACCUGCUGGAAAAUUGACACAGUUGCAUUGGAUUUAGCCCAAGCCACUAAUUGGAACAUGUUCAUCUCUGCUGUCUUCUAAUCUUAGUGAUUAAAGAGCUGUUGCUAGGUCAUGUGAAGGUGGCAUUGCUAGUCAAACAAAUUGCAACUUAAUGGAUUAUUUUCUUCAGCUGUGUGUGUCUUGUUGUCCGCUGGUUUAGGGUUUGCUGCGUUGAUCCCUUGGCUGCUAAGUCACAUCUGACACAGGGUGCUUGUGUGAAAUAUUAAAAAUAGCUAUUCCUUCCAGAAUCUGGGAUUUAUUUUCUGUUCUCAGCUUAACACAGCAGCUCCCCUGAGUCCAAAUGACUCACAGUUUGUUUGGAUUGAUGGGAAUCGUUUUUUGCAGAAGACAAGAACCUCCGGGAAGUGUCUUUGUUAACCUUGUGUGUUUUGAACAGGAAGUCAAGCAAAAGAGGGCACGUUUUGUGCAAUUUGGUAUAGUCCCUGCUACACAGACUGGACAGGAAAUAAGGUGUUGCCUUCAGGAGUUCAGUUACCUCAUCGCCUGUGACCGGCUGUGCAAAUAGGGCUGUGAAGAGGUGCAGGUGGAGAAGGCCCUGGAAAUGUUUCAGUACAAUGAGACAAAGGCUGCCGAGUUCUUGAAUCUGUUGACUCAGUUUCAUGAGAUGGGGUUUCAGCAGAACGAAAUCAAGGAGGUCCUGCUGGUUCAUGAAAACCACAGGGAGCGAGCCAUGGAGGAACUCAUGAUGCGUGUGGAAUAAUUCAAUCAAACUGCAUGCAGCACUACCAGCAAAUGAAACCAUAGCCCCAAAAUGGUUACAUUACCACUACUAUUCAUAUGCUUUAUGUGCUGUUUUUCUCUGUCACCCCUUUUCUUUUAGUUAAAUCGUUUUCUUUUUAAUAGAAGCUUGCACUUCACAAGGGAUUACAAAGUCUUUUUCUUGUAAACUCUCCUUAGAUUUGUAACCCAUAUAUACUUAUUUAUUGAUUGCUGAUUUAUUUAUUAUUCAUUUUGUGUAUCAAAUUAACCUAAGGGUUACUAUAGUGCUAAUUUAGUAUUCCAGUCUUGCUUCAUACUGCUAUAUACUGUAACUUGCCAUUGUAUGCCUCAUCGUGAUUCAUGAUUGUUACUGAUUAUAAAGUGCAGGGGUGGUAAUCAGACUCCUAUUGCAUAGCAGUUUCACCCAUUCCAGGUUUUGACAAUCCGCUUCAGUUUGAUCAUAAUAUGUUAACUUUGAAUUUAAAAAUGUGAAUUUGUUUUUGUAUGAAAUAAAAUGUAUUAUUACUG